UACGGAGGAUGCGAGCGUUAUCCGGAUUUAUUGGGUUUAAAGGGUGCGCAGGCGGCACGGCAAGCCGGCGGUCAAAUCGCGGGGCUCAACCCCGCCCAGCCGUCGGAACUGCCGGGCUAGAGUGGGCGAGAAGUGCGCGGAAUGCGUGGUGUAGCGGUGAAAUGCAUAGAUAUCACGCAGAACUCCGAUUGCGAAGGCAGCGCACCGGCGCCCUACUGACGCUCAAGCACGAAAGCGUGGGUAUCGAACAGG
Molecule: ribosomal RNA, 252 nt
Filed under: uncultured bacterium
Lineage: Bacteria
Description: partial 16S ribosomal RNA
Rfam family: Bacterial small subunit ribosomal RNA
Source: RNAcentral